UGGUAUACCAUCAAUUUUUUUUUAACUCUUUUUUAAAGCCUGUUAUUUUAAAAGAGUAGUGAACAUCCCUAAGGAUUAGUCCCGUCUAAAAGCUGAAUUAAAACUAUUACAGUGUCUUUGUCCUACUUAAUUCAACAGCUUAUAGAUCAUAUCCUCAUGUAAACAAACACAUGUGUAAAUUGUAAUGUAACCCAUAUUCAAAUUUAAAAAAAAAUCUACACCUCAUUUUUUGAUUCUGUAAUAAAUUAUAUUUGUAAUAUUUAAUUAAAUUCUCUGAG
Molecule: long non-coding RNA, 278 nt
Filed under: Mytilus galloprovincialis (Mediterranean mussel)
Lineage: Eukaryota; Metazoa; Mollusca; Bivalvia; Mytilida; Mytilidae
Source: RNAcentral